Cylas formicarius (sweet potato weevil) is the source of this 693-nucleotide long non-coding RNA. RefSeq lists it as uncharacterized. The transcript has 3 exons. Lineage: Eukaryota; Metazoa; Arthropoda; Insecta; Coleoptera; Brentidae. The record is from RefSeq and is a predicted model, not a curated record.
UUUUGUUUUUUAGGGCAAAAUAAGUAAUUAUGUAGAAAAUGUGGAAAAAUACGAGCGAAGCCAAAAUCGAUAAGUAAAAUUUCAUUUUUGCUGAAUUUAAGCCAGACAACCAAACGAAGCAGGAUACAAAACGUAAAGCGCUUAUAUCACCGCUCAAUACCACAAGUGAAACUGGCUUGAGUCAUUUUGCCGCCUAGGCAAAGAAGCGAUAAAUUUUACUGUAAAAUGUUUUAUUAAUAUCGCCCGCUAUCGACCGUCUGAAUUACAUAAAACCCACUGAUCUGUUGCACUAUCUAAUAUUGAAACAACUAGGUAAAUAUGCUAAUUGGUAGAUAUUUCCUAGUUAUUGUUAUCGCUUUCGUUCAUACGCCGAUAAAUGUGGAAAAAAAAUUGAGAAAAAUUACGGACAGCUUUGCUUUUGGAUUUUACGAGGCACGCAGGAGAAAUCGCGUAGUUAUUCCGGCCGAUAGCACUGGCCAGAUCACUAUCGUUGCGGUGGAUUAUCUAUGAACCGACAGUGGCGCAGCCGAUCUGCAUCGCUUUGCUGGGUCAAAAGUCUAACCGUUUUCGUGGCAGGCGCUGAACUUGUUCGACUUGGCAGUAGUUUUCCAUAACUGGCUUUUAUAGAGGACACCGAUUUCGAGGAAGUAUAUAAUUAUAUAAGUAGGGAGCUUGAGCUUUUAGAACGCUUAA